GGCGUAAAGCGUGCGCAGGCGGUUAUGUAAGACAGAUGUGAAAUCCCCGGGCUCAACCUGGGAACUGCAUUUGUGACUGCAUGACUGGAGUGCGGCAGAGGGGGAUGGAAUUCCGCGUGUAGCAGUGAAAUGCGUAGAUAUGCGGAGGAACACCGAUGGCGAAGGCAAUCCCCUGGGCCUGCACUGACGCUCAUGCACGAAAGCGUGGGGAGCAAACAGGAUUAGAUACCCUGGUAGUCCACGCCCUAAACGAUGUCAACUGGUUGUUGGACGGCUUGCUGUUCAGUAACGAAGCUAACGCGUGAAGUUGACCGCCUGGGGAGUACGGCCGCAAGGUUGAAGCUCAAAGGAAUUGACGGGGACCCGCACAAGCGGUGGAUGAUGUGGUUUAGUUCGAUGCAACGCGAAAAACCUUACCUACCCUUGACAUGCCAGGAACUUGCCAGAGAUGGCUUGGUGCUCGAAAGAGAACCUGGACACAGGUGCUGCAUGGCCGUCGUCAGCUCGUGUCGUGAGAUGUUGGGUUAAGUCCCGCAACGAGCGCAACCCUUGUCAUUAGUUGCUACGAAAGGGCACUCUAAUGAGACUGCCA
Molecule: ribosomal RNA, 592 nt
Filed under: uncultured Aquabacterium sp.
Lineage: Bacteria; Pseudomonadati; Pseudomonadota; Betaproteobacteria; Burkholderiales; Sphaerotilaceae
Description: bacterial SSU rRNA
Rfam family: Bacterial small subunit ribosomal RNA
Source: RNAcentral